RNAcentral lists this ribosomal RNA (253 nucleotides) under uncultured bacterium. RNAcentral's name for it is "partial 16S ribosomal RNA". It matches the Rfam family "Bacterial small subunit ribosomal RNA", at positions 524 to 776 of the family's 1533-position model. The record is from RNAcentral.
UACGAGGGGGGCGAGCGUUGUUCGGAAUUACUGGGCGUAAAGCGUGUGUAGGCGGCUAGGUAAGUCGGAUGUGAAAGCCCCGGGCUCAACUCGGGAAGUGCACUCGAUACUGCUUAGCUCGAGUACCGGAGAGGUUGGUGGAAUUCUCGGUGUAGAGGUGAAAUUCGUAGAUAUCGAGAGGAACACCGGUGGCGAAGGCGGCCAACUGGACGAGUACUGGCGCUGAGACACGAAAGCGUGGGGAGCAAACAGG